UGGGGAAUUUUGCGCAAUGGGCGAAAGCCUGACGCAGCAACGCCGCGUGGGUGAUGAAGGUCUUCGGAUUGUAAAACCCUGUCGUCGGGGACGAAGGGUGGCGUGUUAAUAGCACGUUACUUUGACGGUACCCGGAGAGGAAGCCCCGGCUAACUCUGUGCCAGCAGCCGCGGUAAUACAGAGGGGGCAAGCGUUAUUCGGAAUUAUUGGGCGUAAAGGGCGCGUAGGCGGUUUCUUAAGUGAGAUGUGCAAUCCCCGAGCUUAACUUGGGAACUGCAUCUCAGACUGGGAGGCUAGAGUACUGGAGAGGUUGGUGGAAUUCCACGUGUAGCGGUGAAAUGCGUAGAGAUGUGGAGGAACACCAGUGGCGAAGGCGGCCAACUGGACAGUAACUGACGCUGAGGCGCGAAAGUGUGGGUAGCAAACAGGAUUAGAUACCCGCGUAGUCC
RNAcentral lists this ribosomal RNA (449 nucleotides) under uncultured bacterium. RNAcentral's name for it is "bacterial SSU rRNA". It matches the Rfam family "Bacterial small subunit ribosomal RNA", at positions 355 to 796 of the family's 1533-position model. The record is from RNAcentral.